GACGAACGCUGGCGGCGUGCUUAACACAUGCAAGUCGAACGAAGAGCGAUGGAAGCUUGCUCCUAUCAAUCUUAGUGGCGAACGGGUGAGUAACGCGUAAUCAACCUGCCCUUCAGAGGGGGACAACAGUUGGAAACGACUGCUAAUACCGCAUACGAUCUAACCUCGGCAUCGAGGAAAGAUGAAAGGUGGCCUCUAUGUAUAAGCUAUCACUGAAGGAGGGGAUUGCGUCUGAUUAGCUAGUUGGAGGGGUAACGGCCCACCAAGGCGAUGAUCAGUAGCCGGUCUGAGAGGAUGAACGGCCACAUUGGGACUGAGACACGGCCCAGACUCCUACGGGAGGCAGCAGUGGGGAAUCUUCCGCAAUGGACGAAAGUCUGACGGAGCAACGCCGCGUGAGUGAUGACGGCCUUCGGGUUGUAAAGCUCUGUUAAUCGGGACGAAAGGCCUUCUUGCGAAUAGUGAGAAGGAUUGACGGUACCGGAAUAGAAAGCCACGGCUAACUACGUG
RNAcentral lists this ribosomal RNA (510 nucleotides) under uncultured bacterium. Its description in RNAcentral is "partial 16S ribosomal RNA". It matches the Rfam family "Bacterial small subunit ribosomal RNA", at positions 28 to 507 of the family's 1533-position model. The record is from RNAcentral.